This is a long non-coding RNA of Mauremys reevesii (Reeves's turtle), 2264 nucleotides long. RefSeq lists it as uncharacterized. NCBI's taxonomy places the organism in Eukaryota, Metazoa, Chordata, Testudines, Geoemydidae. The record is from RefSeq and is a predicted model, not a curated record. The transcript is spliced from 5 exons.
CCUCAAGAGUGUGACUCUAUAUUGACAAUCUACACGAAGAACUGCAAAUACAGGAAUAACUUCUUUCUACAACCCUUAAUUGGGGUACCAUGCUUUACACACUAGUGCACUGAAAGAAUUCCUGCCAAGUGGCAAGUGAAGUAAUUUCAUGCUCCCAGGCACCAACCUUGGAGAUCGCUGGAUGAUAGGCUACUCCCCACAAGUUGAUGUGUGAAGAGGAAGUGAAGCCUGAAGAUUAGAAUUUGGAGUGCUUCCAACCUAAACUCUAAAUCACUGGGAAUCUUUCCAAUGGGCUGUGGAUCAGGACCUUAAUCCUCGAGUAGAGGAGUGCUUUGCUUGAGUCAUCUUCACCCAUGAAGUGGAAGAGGUCAAUGUGUCAUGGGAAAAGAGGAAAAUAAGGCACAAAGAUUACCGCCAAGCUAGAGAGAAAAGGAAAGACACAUAAUUGAGGUGAACCCCCAGUGCUUGAAGCCAGGUCCCUGUGCAUAAGUUUACCAGGAGCAGCUCAAGGGGAAGGGACCGGAGGAUCCAAAUAACAGAAAAAGGAUCUGAACAAUUUUCCUGUGUGAAGAGCUUCCCUUCUUCAUGAGAACAGGGAAGACGGGGCCCACAAAGUUCUGCCUGGAGUAACAGAAAGCCAUUUUCUCACAUCCCAGGGCAGAAAAUGGCACCAGAACGUCAGAAGAAAAGGAGAAUUUACCAUGAAAGGACCCCUGUGAUGAAUCACUUCAUUUGGUGGUUAAAGCUCAUUUAAAGGGAUCAGACUCUCCAGAACAAAGACUGAGACAUAUUUUCCACUAUAUUCUAACACACAUUUGCCUCCUUCCCCCUAAAAUUGUUACAGAAGACUAUUUUUCCACUUAAAUUUUGACACGUGCAAGGUGGCCAGCAAGCAAUAUUUUCCCAAGUUUGAGAUGAUUAGGAAAAUUAUGUUGAGAUAUGGGACUCAAGAACAAAGUGACAAUCAUAUUUGGAAAGUUCUACUGCUUUUUGUCAUCACCUAUCUCAAAAAUGGCUUGUGUUAGAAAUUUCAAAUUAGAUACAUUUGAAAGACCUUGGAAGCUCUAAUGGACAGGAACAUUUCUGGAAAUAUAUUUACUAGCAAAUCAGGUAAGCCAGCUGGAAUGUAAGGUUCCAGCAGACUUUAAAAGUCCCCAAAUAAUUGGAGCAGCUCCUGAACUGUCACUAAAGCAAAAGUAGUAGAGUCUGUUUCAUUUCUUACUAAUGAAGACCAUUGACCAAAGUAUAAGACAAUUGCUAUGGAACUCUAUGUAUUUGGAUUUAUAAUCAUAAAUAUUCUUGGGAAGCCCUUACAUCAUGUAAUGUUCAUAAUACAUAUUUUAACAUUUGGCUCAUCCCACUCCUACAAGUUAAGAAAUGUCACAACUCACUCCUGCCGUACACUAUAGUUCCAAAUACAGCUACUGCUUCAUGACUUCUUCUCCUUUACCCCACUCCACAAAGUGGACAGGCACCAGGGGAAUUUUAUUCCCAAUAUACUCCUGCCACUCUAGUAUCUAAGUGCCUCAGAGUCAUAAACAGAUUUUAUCCUCAUAACAGCCCUUUAAGAUCGGAAAGUUAUCAUUUCCUGUUGUACUCAUGAGGAACUGAGGCAUGGGGUUGAUUUUCCCAAGGAAGUGUGUGGUAAAAUCAGGAACUGAACACAGAUCUCCAGAGUCCCAGUUCAAUACCCUACCUACUACACCAACCUUCCCACCUGCGGCAGUGCUGUCAAUGCCCUUGCCCUACUACCUGAGUCAACACAGUUUUCAUCAAUUACUUCCUGAGGAAAUGAAGUCUCAGUAAGGGGAAGUCUCUAAGAUCUUUGUGGAAACUCCAAAAAAAAUGACCCUCUCUUUGUGAGAAUCUGAGACAUUGCCAUUUCCACGUCACUGAGUCUGACGCAUUAGGCCUCAUCCUCUUUUCAGCAGUAGCCUUGUCUCAGUGGAAAAGACAGAAACAUACUGAUGCUGCUGACCUUCUACUGUAAUGUUCCCUGAAGGGAACAGGUUGAACAUACGACAGUUUUGUCUUCAGCCACCAGAAUGGGGAGGGCUGCUAGCAAUAAAACUUUACAACUUCCCAAGCUGGGUGUAGGAAUCUAAAAUAUCACAUGCACCCAACUCAUGAAGUAUAUGCUUUCCUGUGUUGAUGGGACUUGAUCCCAGCAGUGGAGAAAGAAAAGGAAAGUAAUCAGGGUCAAGAAAAUUAAGAAUAAUAGAAUAUAUGAUUUUCAUAAAUUUACAAAAUUUCUAUUCUGUCUC